Non-coding RNA from Myotis lucifugus (little brown bat), 75 nucleotides. The record is from Rfam. NCBI's taxonomy places the organism in Eukaryota, Metazoa, Chordata, Mammalia, Chiroptera, Vespertilionidae.
GGCGGUUCUCUGGUAACACACCCCGGAAUUGGGCUCCUUCCUCUCUGGUUCGGGGUGCAUCACUGGAGAACCACA